GGCCCAAACUUGAAGUAAGGUAGAUUAGUAAGGUCAGCUGAUUCUAUUAUCCUACUGUACUUCGAAUUUGGGCCC
Molecule: non-coding RNA, 75 nt
Organism: Haemonchus contortus (barber pole worm)
Lineage: Eukaryota; Metazoa; Nematoda; Chromadorea; Rhabditida; Trichostrongylidae
Source: Rfam